GACGAACGCUGGCGGCGUGCUUAACACAUGCAAGUCGAACGGAAAGGCCCUGCUUUUGUGGGGUGCUCGAGUGGCGAACGGGUGAGUAACACGUGAGUAACCUGCCCUUGACUUUGGGAUAACUUCAGGAAACUGGGGCUAAUACCGGAUAGGAGCUCCUGCUGCAUGGUGGGGGGUGGAACGUUUCGGCGGUUGGGGAUGGACUCGCGGCUUAUCAGCUUGUUGGUGGGGUAGUGGCUUACCAAGGCUUUGACGGGUAGCCGGCCUGUGAGGGUGACCGGCCACAUUGGGACUGAGAUACGGCCCAGACUCCUACGGGAGGCAGCAGUGGGGAAUAUUGCACAAUGGGCGGAAGCCUGAUGCAGCAACGCCGCGUGCGGGAUGACGGCCUUCGGGGUGUAAACCGCUUUCGCCUGUGACGAAGCGUGAGUGACGGUAAUGGGUAAAGAAGCACCGGCUAACUACGUG
RNAcentral lists this ribosomal RNA (468 nucleotides) under uncultured bacterium. Its description in RNAcentral is "partial 16S ribosomal RNA". It matches the Rfam family "Bacterial small subunit ribosomal RNA", at positions 28 to 507 of the family's 1533-position model. The record is from RNAcentral.